UACGAAGGGGGCUAGCGUUGCUCGGAAUGAUUGGGCGUAAAGGGCGCGUAGGCGGCUUACUAAGUUAGGCGUGAAAUUCCUGGGCUCAACCUUGGGAGUGCGUCUGAUACAGGGAAGCUUGAGUGUGAAAGAGGGUCGUGGAAUUUCCAGUGUAGAGGUGAAAUGCGUAGAUAUUUGGAGGAACACCGGUGGCGAAGGCGGCGUCCUGGUUCAUUACUGACGCUGAGGCGCGAAAGCGUGGGGAGCAAACAGG
Molecule: ribosomal RNA, 253 nt
Filed under: uncultured bacterium
Lineage: Bacteria
Description: partial 16S ribosomal RNA
Rfam family: Bacterial small subunit ribosomal RNA
Source: RNAcentral